This 375-nucleotide ribosomal RNA is filed under the name uncultured bacterium. RNAcentral describes it as "bacterial SSU rRNA". It matches the Rfam family "Bacterial small subunit ribosomal RNA", at positions 135 to 507 of the family's 1533-position model. The record is from RNAcentral.
ACUUGGGGAUAACCUUGCGAAAGUAAGACUAAUACCCGAUGAUAUCUCUAGACGACAUCUCGAAAGGGAUUUAAAGAUUUAUCGGUGAUGGAUGGGGAUGCGUCUGAUUAGCUUGUUGGCGGGUAACGGCCACCAAGGCAACGAUCAGUAGGGGUUCUGAGAGGAAGGUCCCCCACAUUGGAACUGAGACACGGUCCAAACUCCUACGGGAGGCAGCAGUGAGGAAUAUUGGUCAAUGGGCGAGAGCCUGGAACCAGCCAAGUAGCGUGCAGGACGACGGCCCUAUGGGUUGUAAACUGCUUUUAUAAGGGAAUAAAGUGAGUCUCGUGAGACUUUUUGCAUGUACCUUAUGAAUAAGGACCGGCUAAUUCCGUG